GGAGUGAAGUGUCAAGCGGCAGGUAUAUGUCUGCCAAAGUUAAAUACAGAGUAGGAAGACCGAUAUCGAACAAGUAGCGUGAGCGAAAGUUUGAAAAGCACUUUGGAAAGAGAGUGACAUAGAACCUGAAGUCGUGACAAUGACAAGGAAAGUACCUCCAUUUUUGCCAAAACCGGCCUUGAAGCAUUAUCCCUCCGGUCUGCGGGCCGUACCCAUUUGAGGGCAACCAAGUGCGGAAAUGAGGCAACGGUGAAUUGGGCGGAGAUAAGGUGGGGAGCACAGCGUUAAAACCUGCGAGGCUUCACCUCUCCGUGAACUCAAUGUUGGCGACUCGAAAAUGGGGUGCCUUCACCCGUCUUGUAACACGGACCAAGGAGUCUAACAUAUGUGCGAGU
RNAcentral lists this ribosomal RNA (395 nucleotides) under Schmidingerella taraikaensis. Its description in RNAcentral is "partial Eukaryotic large subunit ribosomal RNA". It matches the Rfam family "Eukaryotic large subunit ribosomal RNA", at positions 277 to 691 of the family's 3401-position model. The record is from RNAcentral. Lineage: Eukaryota; Ciliophora; Spirotrichea; Tintinnida; Rhabdonellidae.